UGCAAACUUUUUUUGAUGUCC
RNAcentral lists this non-coding RNA (21 nucleotides) under Caenorhabditis elegans. The record is from RNAcentral. Lineage: Eukaryota; Metazoa; Nematoda; Chromadorea; Rhabditida; Rhabditidae.